CCAAUAGCGUAUAUUAAAGUUGUUGCAGUUAAAAAGCUCGUAGUUGAAUUUCGGGGUUAGUAGGUUGGUCAUGCCUCUGGUAUGUACUGAUCUCACUGAUUCCUCCUUCCUUAUGAACCGUAAUGCCAUUAAUUUGGUGUUGCGGGGAAUUUGGACUGUUACUUUGAAAAAAUUAGAGUGUUUAAAGCAGGCUAACGCUUGAAUACAUUAGCAUGGAAUAAUGAAAUAGGACGUUCGAUCUUAUUUUGUUGGUUUCUAGGAUUGACGUAAUGAUUAAUAGGGAUAGUUGGGGGCAUUAGUAUUCAAUUGUCAGAGGUGAAAUUCUUGGAUUUAUUGAAGACUAACUACUGCGAAAGCAUUUGCCAAGGAUGUUUUCAUUAAUCAAGAACGAAAGUUAGGGGAUCGAAGACGAUCAGAUACCGUCGUAGUCUUAACCAUAAACUAUGCCGACUAGGGAUCGGAUGAUGUUAAUUUUUUAAUGACUCAUUCGGCGCCUUACGGGAAACCAAAGUGUUUGGGUC
RNAcentral lists this unclassified non-coding RNA (521 nucleotides) under uncultured Glomeromycotina. Its description in RNAcentral is "SSU rRNA". It matches the Rfam family "Eukaryotic small subunit ribosomal RNA", at positions 591 to 1113 of the family's 1831-position model. Lineage: Eukaryota; Fungi; Glomeromycota. The record is from RNAcentral.